CACGUAGUUAGCCGUGGCUUUCUGAUCAGUUACCGUCAAACCUAUAACAGUUACUCUACAGGCUAUUCUUCUCUGAUAACAGUGCUUUACGAUCCGAAGACCUUCUUCACACACGCGGCGUUGCUCCGUCAGACUUGCGUCCAUUGCGGAAGAUUCCCUACUGCUGCCUCCCGUAGGAGUUUGGGCCGUGUCUCAGUCCCAAUGUGGCCGAUCACCCUCUCAGGUCGGCUAUGCAUCAAAGCCACGGUAGGCCGUUACCCCACCGUCUAGCUAAUGCACCGCGGGACCAUCCUUCAGUGACAGCCGAAGCCGUCUUUCCCAUUCCAGUCAUGCGACUAGAACAACUAUGCGGUAUUAGUCAUCGUUUCCGAUGGUUAUCCCCCGCUGAAGGGUAGGUUUCCCACGUGUUACUCACCCGUUCGCCACUCGCGUUGAAAGGAACAAGUUCCCUUCUCGGCGCGUUCGACUUGCAUGUAUUAGGCACGCCGCCAGCGUUCA
This 498-nucleotide ribosomal RNA is filed under the name uncultured Facklamia sp. Its description in RNAcentral is "partial 16S ribosomal RNA". The record is from RNAcentral. Lineage: Bacteria; Bacillati; Bacillota; Bacilli; Lactobacillales; Aerococcaceae.